UACGUUUUGAUUUUUAACUCUAUUUGUUGUAGUAUCUUAAAUUUUUAUAUAUUUUUUACUUUAUUUUUUGUAAAAUGUUUUAAUUUGAUUUUGUUUUUUUAAGAUAUUAAAAAUUUGGUUUUUGAACUGGAUUAGUACCCAGGUAAUCAAAGUUUAUUAAUUCGGGAGUAAAGUUUUGUUUAAACCGAAAAAAUAUUGACUGACCUUAGAUUUUUCUUUGGAAUAUGUGUUUUGCUGGAGAGCCCUCUUUUUUGGUGAAUUUUGUUGGCACAUGUAUGAUUGUUUAGUUUUUAUUUUAUUUUGUAAUGCUUUUUGUGUUGGCAUUUAAAACAGAUAUAUACUUGGCUUAUAAAUUUAUUUUUCAUGUGUUACUAUUAUAAAUUUUUUUUGGAUUAAUUUUUUAUUUUUUUUUGAAAUUGGAAAAGAAAGUAAUUUUUUCUUAAUGUUUUGAUGAAUUUAAUAAAUAAGGU
RNAcentral lists this ribosomal RNA (470 nucleotides) under Onchocerca sp. type I KA-2020. RNAcentral describes it as "partial small subunit ribosomal RNA". The record is from RNAcentral. Lineage: Eukaryota; Metazoa; Nematoda; Chromadorea; Rhabditida; Onchocercidae.